RNAcentral lists this ribosomal RNA (506 nucleotides) under uncultured bacterium. RNAcentral describes it as "partial 16S ribosomal RNA". It matches the Rfam family "Bacterial small subunit ribosomal RNA", at positions 29 to 523 of the family's 1533-position model. The record is from RNAcentral.
AGUGAACGCUGGCGGUAGGCCUAACACAUGCAAGUCGAACGGCAGCACAGGAGAGCUUGCUCUCUGGGCGGCGAGUGGCGGGCGGGUGAGGAAUACAUCGGAAUCUACUCUGUCGUGGGGGAUAACGUAGGGAAACUUACGCUAAUACCGCAUACGACCUACGGGUGAAAGCAGGGGACCUUCGGGCCUUGCGCGAUUGAAUGAGCCGAUGUCGGAUUAGCUAGUUGGCGGGGUAAAGGCCCACCAAGGCGACGAUCCGUAGCUGGUCUGAGAGGAUGAUCAGCCACACUGGAACUGAGACACGGUCCAGACUCCUACGGGAGGCAGCAGUGGGGAAUAUUGGACAAUGGGCGCAAGCCUGAUCCAGCCGUACCGCGUGGGUGAAGAAGGCCUUCGGGUUGUAAAGCCCUUUUGUUGGGAAAGAAAUCCAGCUGGCUAAUACCCGGUUGGGAUGACGGUACCCAAAGAAUAAGCACCGGCUAACUUCGUGCCAGCCGCCGCCGCCG